Molecule: ribosomal RNA, 500 nt
Filed under: Pochonia chlamydosporia
Lineage: Eukaryota; Fungi; Ascomycota; Sordariomycetes; Hypocreales; Clavicipitaceae
Description: SSU rRNA
Rfam family: Bacterial small subunit ribosomal RNA
Source: RNAcentral
UAAUCUAUAAGAUUGUAUUAAAAUUGAAUAAAGCUUUGUUUAUAUAUUGAUAAUGACAGUAUAUAUAUUGUGUCUUGACUAAUUACGUGCCAGCAGUCGCGGUAAUACGUAAGAGACUAGUGUUAUUCAUCUUAAUUAGGUUUAAAGGGUACCUAGACGGUCAAUAUAACUUCUAGAAUGUUAGUACUUGACUAGAGUUUGAUAUAAGAGGGCAGUACUUGAGGAGAAGAGAUGAAAUUCUAUUAUACCAAAGGGACUCGGUAAAGGCGAAGGCAGCCCUCUAUGUAAAAACUGACGUUGAAGGACGAAGGCAUAGAACACAAACAGGAUUAGAUACCCAAGUAGUCUUUGCAGUAAAUGAUGAAUGCCAUAGGUUAGAGUUAGUUUUAAUAAAUUAGUUUGUCAGUAAUAAACUAACUAUUAAAUAAUAUUUAGUCUAUAAAUGAAAGUGUAAGCAUUCCACCUCAAGAGUAAUGUGGCAACGCAGGAACUGAAAUCAC